Molecule: long non-coding RNA, 240 nt
Organism: Octopus sinensis (East Asian common octopus)
Lineage: Eukaryota; Metazoa; Mollusca; Cephalopoda; Octopoda; Octopodidae
Exons: 2
Source: RefSeq, a predicted model, not a curated record
AUAUUUUAGAUUACUAAAUAUUACCCCUAAACCAUCAUCAUAACUCUUUUCGUAGUUAAAAUAAUUACCUUUAAUUACAUCUCGUUAUCGUCUGUUUCGUAUCUUCCACCAUUUUGUCUCUACCACGCCUGGACUCGCCGAGGAGAAGCGACGACAAUUUGGAAUCGAAGACGUCCAAUAAUAAACUUUCAAAUCAAGAAGUGGAAGGUGUAAGCAAAAUAUAAUAUUUUAAGCCGCAUA